Diceros bicornis minor is the source of this 1023-nucleotide long non-coding RNA. RefSeq lists it as uncharacterized. The transcript is spliced from 3 exons. The record is from RefSeq and is a predicted model, not a curated record. NCBI's taxonomy places the organism in Eukaryota, Metazoa, Chordata, Mammalia, Perissodactyla, Rhinocerotidae.
UUCCAUGCUGUUGGGUGGUUGGUGUGGGUUUAGCCCUCAGCCUAAAACUAUCCUCAGGAAGCCAGGACCCCUCUGCUCCUUCUAUCUUCACCACAUCUCCAAGGGGCUGCAGCCUGCCUGCCCCAGGGAUGUGCGUGGCAGAGGAUUCCCAUGGCCCAGGUGGACAAACAGGCUGCUCAUCCUUAGGGAAAUGGAGGGAUGGUGAUUGUGUUGUGCAGGCCUCACAGGGUGGUGUUGAGGUAAGAGGGAGGAAAGGAAUGUGGGAGCUUUCUGCCUGCUCCACCUGGAGGGGUGAGGGCCAGAACAAGGAUGACAGUCUUGUGACACUGAGUCCUCAUGAGAACCUGUGUGGUAGCUGGAGUUCUCACACUUUCCGGAUGAGGAAACAGGCUCAAGGAGGCCAGGCCACGAGCCCAAGCUCACACCCAGAGUGAGAGUUGGAGCUGGGCUUGUUCUGGAAUCACAAGACCUUGGAGGAUGGAAUGACAUUGGUACCAGUUGACUCAAGUCAGAUGCCCAGUGUCGGAGGCCAGUGGUGCUGGAGAGAAAUGGGGUGAGGGGAGUAUCGCCUCGCUGACACUGUCCUCGACCCUGACAGGAGGGGCCCUUCACGUUUGCCCCCCCAGAGUGCAACCCCGAGAGAGUGCAGGAGAAGCAGCAGCAGCAGUAGGGGAAUGAGAUCAACCUUGAGAAGAGGACUGAGGAGCAGCUGUGGCACUCCCUGCAGGGGAGGGGAAAGAGGUGGAAAUCAGAGACCUUCUGGGCAGAACAGUCCCUGGCUUCACCCCCUGUAUCUUACAUUGAGUGGAAGAGUUUGAUAACAGAGGAGUGGGAGACCCAUCCAAUUGGCGGGUGGGUUGAGGGGAGGAUGGCAUCAAGGAUAUCUUCCUGGAGGAGGAGCUGAUUAUUCCCAUUCUGAGAACUGGUAGAGCCUGGAUGGAACUGGAGGGAAGGAUGGUUUCCAGGACUGGUCCCCUGCCCCACUCCUCACCUCCAACAAGGCCCCUGCAGCAUCCUCCACCC